RNAcentral lists this ribosomal RNA (274 nucleotides) under uncultured bacterium. RNAcentral describes it as "partial 16S ribosomal RNA". It matches the Rfam family "Bacterial small subunit ribosomal RNA", at positions 523 to 796 of the family's 1533-position model. The record is from RNAcentral.
AUACGAAGGGGGCUAGCGUUGUUCGGAAUCACUGGGCGUAAAGCGCGCGUAGGUGGAUCAAUUAGUUGAGGGUGAAAUCCCGGGGCUCAACCUCGGAACUGCCUUCAAUACUGUCGAUCUUGAGACCGAGAGAGGUGAGUGGAAUUCCUAGUGUAGAGGUGAAAUUCGUAGAUAUUAGGAAGAACACCAGUGGCGAAGGCGGCUCACUGGCUCGGUACUGACGCUGAGGUGCGAAAGCGUGGGGAGCAAACAGGAUUAGAUACCCCAGUAGUCC